GCCCGGGUGGCGGAACGGCAGACGCAGCCGCCUUAAAAGCGGACGCCCCCACGGGCAUGCGGGUUCGAAUCCCGCCCCGGGCA
RNAcentral lists this transfer RNA (83 nucleotides) under Streptomyces lydicus. Its description in RNAcentral is "tRNA-Leu". It matches the Rfam family "tRNA". Rfam says of the family: Transfer RNA (tRNA) molecules are approximately 80 nucleotides in length. Their secondary structure includes four short double-helical elements and three loops (D, anti-codon, and T loops). Lineage: Bacteria; Bacillati; Actinomycetota; Actinomycetes; Kitasatosporales; Streptomycetaceae. The record is from RNAcentral.